This 253-nucleotide ribosomal RNA is filed under the name uncultured bacterium. Its description in RNAcentral is "partial 16S ribosomal RNA". It matches the Rfam family "Bacterial small subunit ribosomal RNA", at positions 524 to 776 of the family's 1533-position model. The record is from RNAcentral.
UACGAAGGGGGCUAGCGUUGUUCGGAAUCACUGGGCGUAAAGCGCACGUAGGCGGAUGUGCCAGUCAGGGGUGAAAUCCCGGAGCUCAACUCCGGAACUGCCUCUGAUACAGCACAUCUUGAGUCCGGAAGAGGUGGGUGGAAUUCCUAGUGUAGAGGUGAAAUUCGUAGAUAUUAGGAAGAACACCGGUGGCGAAGGCGGCCCACUGGUCCGGUACUGACGCUGAGGUGCGAAAGCGUGGGGAGCAAACAGG